AUGCUCGAAGCACACCUUCCAGGCCUGGGGGCUGGGGAGGGAUCUGUUGGAUCUCCUGUGUGUUAUUGUGACAAGCACAAAGGGUGGACUCUUGGCCACGUGUUCCACGUCUCAAAGCAGUGUCUGUGGCUCAGGCUGCCAUUGCCUCAAGCAGCCUCCCUAAGGCAGGAAUUUUUACAGCAGGGGAGACUGAAGAGCACAGAUGCUCUCCUGCAUGGACAGCCACUCUCUGCUAAGGAGAAAACCUGGUGUUCCCAGGCUUCUGAUUUUUCAGAAGAUAACAUUUUCCAAACUGCUCUGACUGCCACGGGAGUGCUGAGGAAGUUUGUAUCAUCCAGAAUUUAACCCCUUCCUCAAAAUGUAUGUUUCCUGACAAAGUGUAUUUAAUUUAAACUGUUCUUCUAAUUUAUACUUGAAUCCACUGAAAAUAGAAAUUUAAGUCAUACUCCAUUGUUAGUGUAUUAGGGCAGCACAGCCCAUCAGAGUGAACAAGUCUAUGCCAGUAGAACACUGAGCCUCAGGGCCCUGAGAUUUCAGAGCCCUGUGUCUGUAGGCUUGAAGUUCAAGAACCCUUAAGACAUAAUCUGUACAACCAGCCUUUUCUCUGUAAUAGUUGUUUUAUAGUAGAUGGACAACAUUAGCUGGGGAGAAAGUGGGGUUGUUAGGAGGCCAUGUCACUGAUCAGAGUCCCUGUGCAGGGAAGCGCUCCUGUACCUUUGCAGGCUCGCAUUGCAUUGCCUGUCCCAGCAAUGUGUCCCCUCAGGGCCCCUGCAGGAAAAAAAACCCAAACAGGUCUGCUCUAGAUUCAUCAGCUGGGUAUAAUGGUGGAGCUGAGCUGCAGAGCACAACUCUCCGUAGGAAAGAGUUGAUACCAAGACAGUGAAAUGGUCUGAUUAUGUCUCCCCAUUAUAUCCUUUUCCUGUCACCAGUCCAGCCCUCUGAUAUCCACAGGAGACCCAGUGGAAUGUUUCCUUCUCUGGGGAUUCUGGUUGCCUUCAUGAGGUUAGCAGCAUGCUUGGUCCUUGCAAAAUUUGUGGCUUCUUCCUGACCACAGCAAAUGGCACUUUGGCCAAGAGCUUGUAGAGCUCCUUGAGCUGUUGAGUGGAAGGCACUGGAUGAUGGAUGAAGGCAUAUAAAUUUCAAGCUUUUAUUUAGAAAUAAAAUAUAUUUUUUAAUAAAGUAC
This 1183-nucleotide long non-coding RNA is filed under the name Cyanistes caeruleus (blue tit). Its description in RNAcentral is "lncRNA (ENSCCEG00000004777.1)". The record is from RNAcentral. Lineage: Eukaryota; Metazoa; Chordata; Aves; Passeriformes; Paridae.